GUGUGGUGACAGGUAUACAGGCAUGAUGUGGAGGAUGAUGAGGUCCUAGACCCCAUAUGGAAUUAAGGUAAUCUGAGUGACGUGUGCAGUUCAGAGGAAGAGGUGGUAGUCGCGCAGCGCCAGCCACACAUCACAAAAGGGAGCAUGGUG
Long non-coding RNA from Bufo bufo (common toad), 150 nucleotides. RefSeq lists it as uncharacterized. Lineage: Eukaryota; Metazoa; Chordata; Amphibia; Anura; Bufonidae. The record is from RefSeq and is a predicted model, not a curated record. The transcript has 4 exons.